Canis lupus familiaris (dog) is the source of this 132-nucleotide non-coding RNA. The record is from Rfam. Lineage: Eukaryota; Metazoa; Chordata; Mammalia; Carnivora; Canidae.
CUGUUGUAUGAAAGAGAAAAGGUUAACAUUUCCCUUGCCAAGUAUGAAAGAGGUCCUAGGGCCUGUACAACACAUGUACAGGUAAGACAUUGCACCUACGUUGUGCCAUGUCCCCAUGGCCAGUUUUUUUGU